GACAGAGGCCUCGAGCGUUAGGCGGAAUCACUGGGCUUAAAGCGUGUGUAGGCGGGCCCGUAAGUGUCUUGUGAAAUCCCACGGCUCAACCGUGGAACUGCUGGGCAUACUGCGGGUCUUGGGCCAACUAGGGGGCAGCCGGAACAAGCGGUGGAGCGGUGAAAUGCGUAGAUAUCGCUUGGAACGCCGAAGGUGAAAACAGGCUGCUGGGGUUGCGCCGACGCUGAGACACGAAAGCCAGGGGAGCAAACGGG
RNAcentral lists this ribosomal RNA (254 nucleotides) under uncultured bacterium. Its description in RNAcentral is "partial 16S ribosomal RNA". It matches the Rfam family "Bacterial small subunit ribosomal RNA", at positions 524 to 776 of the family's 1533-position model. The record is from RNAcentral.